AUGGUGGCUCCUGCUGUCAAAGACAAUGAGAAGCAGCCGUUCAGCAAGCUCAGUGCUGUGACCCCAGGCCUCGUGGGGCUGGACUAUGAUAUGACAGAGAUGUUCUGGACUCACACAGGGAAACUUGAACUAGGGAAUGAAGACAAUUUUAAACGCAACAACUCAGAGUCUCAGAUUCAUAUUCGGGGAAAACCCGGGCGGGUGAGUGCAGGGUCUGGAGGGAAACGGCCUCUGCGGGGAGGAGCGAGGGGCCCGCCCGGCGGGGGCGCAGGACCCGCGGAGCGGCGCUGGGAGGAAGGUCGGGCAGGUCUCAGCCUCUCCUCGCCCCCAGGCUCCCACUCCUUGAGGUAUUUCUACACCUCUGAGUCCCCGCCCGGCCGCGGGGAGCCCGGCAUCAUCUCAGUGGGCUACGUGGACGACACGCAGUUCCAGAGGUUCGACGGCGACGCUGCAAAUCUGAGAGGAGAGCCGCGGGCGCCGUGGGUGGAGCAGGAGGGUCCGGAGUAUUGGGACCUGCAGACACCGAGAGUCAAGGCCCAGGCACAGACUUUCCGAGUGAACCUGCGGACCCUGCGCGGCUACUACAACCAGAGCGAGGUCGACUCCCCAAAGACACAUGUGACCCACCACCCCAUCUCUGACCAUUAGGCCACGCUGAGGUGCUGGGCCCUGGGCUUCUACCUUGCGGAGAUCACACUGUCCUGGCAGUGGGAGGGGGAGGACCAAACUCAGGACACGGAGCUUGUGGAGACCAGGCCAGCAGGGGAUGGAACCUUCCAGAAGUGGGCAGCUGUGGUGGUGCCUUCCAGAGAGGAGCAGAGAUACACAUGCCAUGUGCAGCUUGAGGGGCUGCCGGAGCCCCUCACCCUGAGAUGGGACCCGUCUUCCCAGCUCACCAUCCCCAUCAUGGGCAUUGUUGCUGGCCUGGGUGUCCUAGGAGCUGUGGUCACUGGAGCUGUGGUCACUGCUGUGAUGUGUAGGAAAAAGAGUUCAGGUGAAGAAAGAGGGAGCUACUCUCAGGCUGCGUGCAGCGACAGUGCCCAGGGCUCUGAUGUGUCUCUCACAGCUUGUAAAGCCUGAGACAGCUGCCUUGUGUGGGACUGAGAUGCGAGAUUUCUUCACGCCUCCCCUGUGACUUCAAGAGCCUCUGGCAUCUCUUUCUGCAAAGGCAUCUGAAUGUGUCUGCGUCCCUGUUAGCAUAAUGUGAGGAGGUGGAGAGAUAGCCCACCCCGUGUCCACUGUGACCCCUGUCCCCACGCUGACCUGUGUUCCCUCCCCAGUCAUCUUUCCUGUUCCAGAGAAGUGGGGCUGGGUGUCUCCAUCUCUGUCUCAGCUUCAUGGUGCACUGAGCUGCAACUUCUUACUUCCCUACUGAAAAUAAGAAACUGAAUAUAAAUUUGUUUCUCAAAUAUUUGCCAUGAGAGGUUGAUGGGUUAAUUAAAUAAGUCAUUUCCUAAAAUUUGACAGAGGAAAUAAAGACCUGAGAACCUUCCAG
RNA transcript from Cebus imitator (Panamanian white-faced capuchin), 1495 nucleotides. It is a transcript of the gene named HLA class I histocompatibility antigen, C alpha chain-like, with no coding region annotated. Lineage: Eukaryota; Metazoa; Chordata; Mammalia; Primates; Cebidae. The transcript is spliced from 8 exons. The record is from RefSeq and is a predicted model, not a curated record.